CCUACGGGUGGCAGCAGUGAGGAAUAUUGGUCAAUGGGCGAGAGCCUGACCCAGCAACGCCGCGUGAAGGAAGAAGGCUUUCGGGUUGUAAACUUCUUUUGACAGGGAAGAGCAGAAGACGGUACCUGUCGAAUAAGCCACGGCUAACUACGUGCCAGCAGCCGCGGUAAUACGUAGGUGGCAAGCGUUGUCCGGAUUUACUGGGUGUAAAGGGCGGGUAGACGGGCUGACAAGUCAGAGGUGAAAUCCGGGGGCUCAACCCCCGAACUGCAUUUGAAACUGUUGGUCUUGAGUAUCGGAGAGGCAGGCGGAAUUCCUAGUGUCGCGGUGAACUGCGUAGAUAUUAGGAGGAACCCCGGUGGCGAAGGCGGCUUACCGGACUGUACCUGCCGUUGAGGCUCGAACGCGUGGGGAGCAAACAGGAUUAGAUACCCUUGUAGUC
This 442-nucleotide ribosomal RNA is filed under the name uncultured bacterium. RNAcentral's name for it is "partial 16S ribosomal RNA". It matches the Rfam family "Bacterial small subunit ribosomal RNA", at positions 338 to 795 of the family's 1533-position model. The record is from RNAcentral.